GUGGUAAUAGUGUAAUGGUUAGCAUAGGGGUCUGUGGAACCCCUGGUCCGGGUUCAAUCCCCGGUUACCGCCCCA
Molecule: transfer RNA, 75 nt
Filed under: Candidatus Woesearchaeota archaeon
Lineage: Archaea; Nanobdellati; Candidatus Woesearchaeota
Description: tRNA-His
Rfam family: tRNA
About the family: Transfer RNA (tRNA) molecules are approximately 80 nucleotides in length. Their secondary structure includes four short double-helical elements and three loops (D, anti-codon, and T loops).
Source: RNAcentral